CAUCCUCCAAGGCUAAAUACUCCUGACUGACCGAUAGUGAACCAGUACCGUGAGGGAAAGGCGAAAAGAACCCCGGCGAGGGGAGUGAAAAAGAACCUGAAACCGUGUACGUACAAGCAGUGGGAGCCCCACCACUAAGCCAGUGGUGAACUCCACAUACGCAUCCUUUGCUGAGGAUACGGUUAACGGAGCGAAAGCGACGUUCAACCUCAAAAGAAGCAGAGGGGGCUUAGUGGUGGGGUGACUGCGUACCUUUUGUAUAAUGGGUCAGCGACUUAUAUUCUGUAGCAAGGUUAACCGCAUAGGGGAGCCGGAGGGAAACCGAGUCUUAAUUGGGCGUUAAGUUGCAGGGUAUAGACCCGAAACCCGGUGAUCUAGCCAUGGGCAGGUUGAAGGUUGGGUAACACUAACUGGAGGACCGAACCGACUAAUGUUGAAAAAUUAGCGGAUGACCUGUGGC
RNAcentral lists this ribosomal RNA (460 nucleotides) under Salmonella enterica subsp. enterica. RNAcentral describes it as "bacterial LSU rRNA". It matches the Rfam family "Bacterial large subunit ribosomal RNA", at positions 454 to 815 of the family's 2925-position model. Lineage: Bacteria; Pseudomonadati; Pseudomonadota; Gammaproteobacteria; Enterobacterales; Enterobacteriaceae. The record is from RNAcentral.